CCUACGGGCGGCAGCAGUAGGGAAUAUUGCUCAAUGGGGGAAACCCUGAAGCAGCAACGCCGCGUGGAGGAUGAAGGUUUUCGGAUUGUAAACUCCUUUUGUUAGAGAAGAUAAUGACGGUAUCUAACGAAUAAGCACCGGCUAACACCGUGCCAGCAGCCGCGGUAAUACGGAGGGUGCAAGCGUUAUACGGAAUAACUGGGUGUAAAGAGGGCGUAGGGGGGAUAGCAAGUCAGAUGUGAAAUCCUUUGGCUUAACCAUAGAAUUGCAUUUGAAACUGUUAGUCUAGAGUAUGGGUGAUGUAGGUGGAAUUCUUGGUGUAGCGGUAAAAUCCUUAGAGAUCACGAAGAAUACUCAUUGCGAAGGCAGCUUACUAGA
RNAcentral lists this ribosomal RNA (378 nucleotides) under uncultured bacterium. RNAcentral's name for it is "partial 16S ribosomal RNA". It matches the Rfam family "Bacterial small subunit ribosomal RNA", at positions 338 to 733 of the family's 1533-position model. The record is from RNAcentral.